Molecule: ribosomal RNA, 303 nt
Filed under: uncultured bacterium
Lineage: Bacteria
Description: partial 16S ribosomal RNA
Rfam family: Bacterial small subunit ribosomal RNA
Source: RNAcentral
AGCAGUCGCACGGUAAUACGGAGGGUGCAAGCGUUAAUCGGAAUUACUGGGCGUAAAGCGCACGCAGGCGGUCUGACAAGUCAGAUGUGAAAUCCCCGGGCUUAACCUGGGAACUGCAUUUGAAACUGUCAGGCUGGAGUCUUGUAGAGGGGGGUGGAAUUCCAGGUGUAGCGGUGAAAUGCGUAGAGAUCUGGAGGAAUACCGGUGGCGAAGGCGGCCCCCUGGACAAAGACUGACGCUCAGGUGCGAAAGCGUGGGGAGCAAACAGGAUUAGAUACCCCUGUAGUCCCUGUCUCUUAUACA